Molecule: ribosomal RNA, 291 nt
Filed under: uncultured bacterium
Lineage: Bacteria
Description: partial 16S ribosomal RNA
Rfam family: Bacterial small subunit ribosomal RNA
Source: RNAcentral
GUGGAUUAGAUACCCUGGUAGUCCACGCCCUAAACGAUGUCAACUAGUUGUUGGGGGAGGAGACUUCCUUAGUAACGCAGCUAACGCGUGAAGUUGACCGCCUGGGGAGUACGGUCGCAAGAUUAAAACUCAAAGGAAUUGACGGGGACCCGCACAAGCGGUGGAUUAUGUGGAUUAAUUCGAUGCAACGCGAAAAACCUUACCUACCCUUGACAUGCCAGGAACUUUCCAGAGAUGGAUUGGUGCCCGAAAGGGAGCCUGGACACAGGUGCUGCACGGUUGUCGUCAGCU